This 217-nucleotide long non-coding RNA is filed under the name Solanum tuberosum (potato). Its description in RNAcentral is "long non-coding RNA (STUB_LNC005251)". The record is from RNAcentral. Lineage: Eukaryota; Viridiplantae; Streptophyta; Magnoliopsida; Solanales; Solanaceae.
CCACAGGUUUCCUUGCAACUUCAUCGUGAUCAAGCAAACGUAAGCACAUCAUGCAAAGUUUUCCGAAAGCAGAAUUGAAACCCUCAACUAAGUGACUUCGUAACCUCAAACCUACUUUUUUGCUUACUGGGAAAAGAGAACACUUUCAUCGUGAAAGAUUUAAUUUCAAUUUAGCAACAGGUUAACUUCCAACUUCACCAUAUAGAAGAACCAUCGC